This 253-nucleotide ribosomal RNA is filed under the name uncultured bacterium. RNAcentral describes it as "partial 16S ribosomal RNA". It matches the Rfam family "Bacterial small subunit ribosomal RNA", at positions 524 to 776 of the family's 1533-position model. The record is from RNAcentral.
UACGUAGGGGGCAAGCGUUGUCCGGAUUUACUGGGCGUAAAGGGCGCGUAGGCGGCCAUCUAAGUCAGACGUGAAAUCCCUCGGCUCAACCGAGGAACUGCGUCUGAUACUGGAAGGCUUGAAUCCGGGAGAGGGAUGUGGAAUUCCAGGUGUAGCGGUGAAAUGCGUAGAUAUCUGGAGGAACACCGGUGGCGAAGGCGGCAUCCUGGACCGGUAUUGACGCUGAGGCGCGAAAGCGUGGGGAGCAAACAGG